ACUUACAUUGAAGCCUAGCGAUAUGUAAGUUAGUGGCGGACGGGUGAGUAACGCGUGGGUAACCUGCCUUGUACUGGGGGACAACAGUUGGAAACGACUGCUAAUACCGCAUAAGCGCACGGGAUUGCAUGAUCCAGUGUGAAAAACUCCGGUGGUAUGAGAUGGACCCGCGUCUGAUUAGCCAGUUGGCGGGGUAACGGCCCACCAAAGCGACGAUCAGUAGCCGACCUGAGAGGGUGACCGGCCACAUUGGGACUGAGAUACGGCCCAGACUCC
This 276-nucleotide ribosomal RNA is filed under the name uncultured Lachnospiraceae bacterium. RNAcentral describes it as "partial 16S ribosomal RNA". It matches the Rfam family "Bacterial small subunit ribosomal RNA", at positions 52 to 339 of the family's 1533-position model. The record is from RNAcentral. Lineage: Bacteria; Bacillati; Bacillota; Clostridia; Lachnospirales; Lachnospiraceae.